GCGGACGACAAUUCCCUUCUCUUUCUCCAAUCUGAGAAGCUUGUCCCCUUGAGGCAUCCAAGUUUCUCUAACCGAAUCUCGCCUCUUCCUACUGCUAAAAGCAGUAUUAAUUCCAAUUACCACAAAAACUUUCUUUCUUGGAGGGCCAUUUUGGGAAUGAGAAGAAUUGGAAGACUGAUCAGCCACCUUCAUUUCCUGUGUGCUCCUAGUGGCUGCCAACUCCAUCUGAAGCGUAGCAAUUGACUUGUCCAGUGAUUGAAUUGCUUCAUGGGUUUUGUACACCUCUUGCAUUACAUCCUUAUCUUGUCCUUGUUUCUUCUUUUUCGAAUUACAAUCCUCAGAAACAACUUGAAGUUCUU
This 359-nucleotide unclassified non-coding RNA is filed under the name Hevea brasiliensis (rubber tree). The record is from RNAcentral. Lineage: Eukaryota; Viridiplantae; Streptophyta; Magnoliopsida; Malpighiales; Euphorbiaceae.